RNAcentral lists this unclassified non-coding RNA (200 nucleotides) under soil metagenome. RNAcentral describes it as "partial contains internal transcribed spacer 2 and large subunit ribosomal RNA". The record is from RNAcentral.
GAUUCACGUCUGCUCCUCUCAAAAGCAAUUAGCUGGAUCUCGGAGCUCGGUUCCACUCGGCGUGAUAAAUAUCACUCGCUGAGGACACCCACCCAGGUGGCCGGGUUUGCGGAUUGAGCCGCUUCUAAUCGUCCAUUUGCUUGGACAACAACACUUUAUGAUCUGAUCUCAAAUCAGGUAGGACUACCCGCUGAACUUAA